This 408-nucleotide ribosomal RNA is filed under the name Kurixalus odontotarsus. RNAcentral's name for it is "partial 16S ribosomal RNA". It matches the Rfam family "Bacterial large subunit ribosomal RNA", at positions 1830 to 2440 of the family's 2925-position model. Lineage: Eukaryota; Metazoa; Chordata; Amphibia; Anura; Rhacophoridae. The record is from RNAcentral.
CUUGUAAGUAAUAAGAGGUCCAGCCUGCCCAGUGACAAAGUUCAACGGCCGCGGUACCCUAACCGAGCGAAGGUAGCAUAAUCACUUGUUCUUUAAAUAAGGACUAGUAUCAAUGGCAUCACGAGGGUCGUACUGUCUCCUUUUUCCAAUCAGUGAAACUGAUCUUCCCGUGAAAAAGCGGGAAUACACAUAUAAGACGAGAAGACCCCAUGGAGCUUUAAACCUACAGCAACUUAACUACAAAAUUCUUCAAAACCCCUAAAGAAAUGCCUGUUGGUUUUAGGUUGGGGUGACCACGGAGUAAAGACUAACCUCCGCAACGCAUAAACCUAAAUUUUUAUUUAAGAGCCACAACUCUAAAAAAUAGUACACUAACGUACACUGAUGCCGAUAAUCGAUUAAUGAACC